Molecule: ribosomal RNA, 449 nt
Filed under: uncultured bacterium
Lineage: Bacteria
Description: partial 16S ribosomal RNA
Rfam family: Bacterial small subunit ribosomal RNA
Source: RNAcentral
AACGAACGCUGGCGGCAUGCCUAACACAUGCAAGUCGAACGAGAUCUUCGGGUCUAGUGGCGCACGGGUGCGUAACGCGUGAGAAUCUGCCCUUUGGUUCGGAAUAACAGUUGGAAACGACUGCUCAUACCGGAUGACGACGAAAGUCCAAAGAUUUAUCGCCAGAGGAUGAGCCCGCGUAGGAUUAGCUAGUUGGUGUGGUAAAGGCGCACCAAGGCGACGAUCCUUAGCUGGUCUGAAAAGAUGAUCAGCCACACUGAGACUGAGACACGGCCCAGACUCCUACGGGAGGCAGCAGUGGGGAAUAUUGGACAAUGGGCGAAAGCCUGAUCCAGCAAUGCCGCGUGAGUGAUGAAGGGCUUAGGGUUGUAAAGAUCUUUUACCCGUGAUGAUAAUGACAGUACCGGGAGAAUAAGCGCCGGCUAACUCCGUGCCAGCCGCCGCAGUAA